Molecule: long non-coding RNA, 654 nt
Filed under: Rattus norvegicus (Norway rat)
Lineage: Eukaryota; Metazoa; Chordata; Mammalia; Rodentia; Muridae
Description: long non-coding RNA NONRATT028971
Source: RNAcentral
ACUCCGUGGAAAUCUCCUUGCUGAACAGCUGCCAAGUUCUACAAAACACAGGGAGGGAGCGAGCCCUACUUGUGGGGGCAUGGACCAUAAACCUUUGGUGACGAGCAUUGUCAGCUGUGCCUUGGCAUAGACGCGGACACCGGGAUUGCUCUGGAGUCUGGGGCGGGGGCUCAGGGCACUCAGAGGCGGGAGAAGGGGGCCAUCACAGGAUAUAGGCCCCUGCCUGGGUCAGAGGUGCCCAGUCAAGGCCAAUCUUUCCCAGGUAUUUAUUCUCUAUUUAUUGGGGACAGAAGAGAAGUCUGUCUGGGUGAGGCAGAACCUUCUCUUCUCCCUUCCUUCCUUGCCUGUCCUGGAAGGUCCAGCCUAUUCUACCUCCUUAGCUUUGCCUGUGCUGCCCCAACGCACGGGCGGGGCUGGGUGCAGGCAUGGUUUUAAAGAACCCCCAGUCCUGAGGAUAGAUGGGCCAUGGUGGAGGCCCAGGGCCUGUCUGACAUCCCCAAGGCUCACGUCUGCCCACUGCCACAGGUGAUGGGUGUAAAUAGCUCUGGUGGCAGUGGCGUAGAUGGUUGGGGGGCUCCUGCAGCCUCUGCUGCCCAGGCCGCAGUCUCUCUUGGGUUCCAUCUUGCUAAUAAACGCUGGCUCUGGGACUAGACU